AUUGAACGCUGGCGGCAUGCUUUACACAUGCAAGUCGAGCGGCAGCGCGGGGGCAACCCUGGCGGCGAGCGGGGAACGGGUGAGUAAUGCAUCGGAACGUAUCCUCGAGUGGGGGAUAAGCCAGCGAAAGUAGGGCGAAUACCGCAUGAGCUCUGAUGAUGAAAGCGGGGGACCUGCGAGGGCCUCGCGCUGGAGGAGCAGCCGGUGACGGAUUAGCUAGUUGGUGGGGUAAAGGCUUACCAAGGCGACGAUCGGUAGCUGGUCUGAGAGGAUGAUCAGCCACACUGGAACUGAGACACGGCCCAGACUCCUACGGGAGGCAGCAGUGGGGAAUCUUCGACAAUGGGCGCAACCCUGAUCCAGCCAUGCCGCGUGAGUGAAGAAGGCCUUCGGGUUGUAAAGCUCUUUCGGACGGGACGAAAUGGGCGGGACUAAUACUCCUGUCUCAUGACGGUACCGUAAGAAGAAGCACCGGCUAACUACGUG
Molecule: ribosomal RNA, 486 nt
Filed under: uncultured bacterium
Lineage: Bacteria
Description: partial 16S ribosomal RNA
Rfam family: Bacterial small subunit ribosomal RNA
Source: RNAcentral